UCAUAGCUUAGUUGAUAGAGCAUGAGACUCUUAAUGUCAGGGCUGUGGGUUCGAGUCCCGCUUUGGGCGAAA
Molecule: non-coding RNA, 72 nt
Organism: Podarcis lilfordi (Lilford's wall lizard)
Lineage: Eukaryota; Metazoa; Chordata; Lepidosauria; Squamata; Lacertidae
Source: the annotation of a GenBank genome assembly